Molecule: long non-coding RNA, 863 nt
Organism: Labeo rohita (rohu)
Lineage: Eukaryota; Metazoa; Chordata; Actinopteri; Cypriniformes; Cyprinidae
Exons: 3
Source: RefSeq, a predicted model, not a curated record
UGUCAAGGUGUUUGUGAUACAUUGCAAUUCAUUUUCUUAAAAUUAGCCAUAUUUAAAGUCUGCUUACAUCAGAAUGAUUUAAAAAGCAUAUUCAGUUUUAUCCUCUCAUCUUUUUCAGUCAUCGAGAGAUUUUGCUUGCCACCAGAUGCAAAAGUUAUAUACAAGGAUGCAAUGGGGACCAAAGUUGAUGCAGAAAUAUUCAGUGACCUCAUUGGUCAAGGCAAUGUGGUGCUGAAAGUUUUCACAAAUGAUGAAUUUUAAAGGUGGAGCAAGAUUUUACUCUCCUGUUUGAUGAAGAGACAUCUUCCCGGCUGCUUCAAAAGUGGGACACAUUCUUCAGGCACAAAUGUCAUAAAAGAGGCCAAGCGCCUUACAUCAACAGCAGAGUUGAUCUUUACGAGACAAGAAGUCUCUACGACCAGGAAACGCUGCAGUUUGGAGGAGCAUCUCAACAACAACCAAUGCCAGCAUCGGUACCUCCUUGCUGUUGGGCGUCAGAAAAGCAAGAAUUACAACUUCUACAUCACCUUGGAUAAGCAUCUCAUCCCAUGCCAGGCAAACCGCUCCCUUGGGGCUUUUGACGAACUUCUCAAGGCUCAUUUUGUAUUUAACUUGUCUUAUUACAGAGCUGGACUUAUUUGCAGUGCAAUUGAAAAUGAAAUGCCAGUCUUUUUGUCAAAUAAGUGAUGUACUUUUGGUUGACAAUCACAUUUAUCUACUGGCAAACAAGCUAUUUACAGAGAAUUUUCAUUAGCACUUUCAUGCAUUCAGAGUGAAAGGUGUAUCUUACAAAUGUCUGAGAUCAAAUUUGAUAAACCAUUUGAUAUUCAAACUUCAUACAGUGUUGCAGAUGAAAGUUUGUA